ACUUUGUUUAUAACAGUAUCUAUAUGGCAAUGCCACCAAACAGCAUUUCAUUCUUAAACAAUGCCAAAUGCAUCACAUUUGAUACAAGCAUUUCUGAGACCUAUUGCAUAAUUUUAUGGUAAAAACUUCACUCUUGUAUCCAGUCUGAUAUUUCUCUUCCACCCCCUGGUGGAUACCUUUAUCACUACAACAAUUCAGACAGUACAUGGGACAAUCCAAGAUGGCAGCCUUCUGAAAGUUCCCAACUCCCUGGAUCAAGAUGGCUAAACAGUACACUGCUGAAGAUGUCCUACGCUUCCUUGAUGGCAAUUUGAGUGACAGAGGAGUUGAUGUCUGCAGAUGAUGAAGUGUUGGAUAAAGAUUGGACCCCUAAUGCAGACUACAAUGAAGAGAACUCAAAUACUGGUAGUAGCAAUGAGGAAGAUAAAACUGUUGCUGAUAGGCUUGAAGAGGAAGAGGAGGGUCUCAGAAUGUCACAUGCAACAAUACAGUGUGGUAGAAGCAAAGUGAAAAGAGAAGAAAAGAAAGGCACAUCCAGCUGCUGAGUUUGAUAAAAAAGUAAUGACCAGAUGAGUAAUAAAAGAAAAAGUCACUGGAAACAGUCACAGUUUUAAAAAAAAUGAA
This is a long non-coding RNA of Phyllopteryx taeniolatus (common seadragon), 624 nucleotides long. RefSeq lists it as uncharacterized. The transcript has 2 exons. Lineage: Eukaryota; Metazoa; Chordata; Actinopteri; Syngnathiformes; Syngnathidae. The record is from RefSeq and is a predicted model, not a curated record.